UGCUCAUGGCUUCCGGACGACCUCGCAUCUUCGUGUCAAAAUCUUCAGCGCCCAUUAUUCCCAAAAUAUCCCAAAAUAUUCUCUUUCCCCUCCCUUCCUUUUUUUAUUUCUUUUUCUUCUUUCACUUUUCUUCCACCCGGACAGAGCCUCCUCCUCUGUUAUUCAAACCGUCGCCUCCCCCCUUCCUUGAACCGAGCUCUCCCCCUUUUAAUCUCCCCGGGCGCCGGUUCAGCAUGGAAUAAAAUCAUAUCUUCCCCAAUUUUAGGCGUGGGGAUGGAAGAGAAGGAGCUGGACGCGCUGAAUCUUGGAUCUCGCUCGGAAUGGCAGCUGUGAGGAGGCGGGGAUGCAGGCGGAUGCCUGAUGCGGGAGUCGUCCGGCUGGCUGGAGACGUUGCUAGAUGGUACGCACGGUGAUCGCGGAAGCUGUGAGGCAUGCCGGCACGAUCUCUGCUGAUCUGGUCGCGAUGAUUACAGGGAUCUGAAAUCUGGGACGCCGCGGCUGUGUUCGAAAUGGAAGGAUGGUCGGAGAUGCGCUGCAGCCUUGAAUCAUGCCAUGGACGCGUUGAAGACGCUUCGGACGAACUCCUGAUUCGCUGGCUGCACCGUGGGAUAAGAGGAGAUCUGGGAGGAUCUGAAAAAUGGCUGGAUGCAUGGACGGCAGGCUGGUUCACCGCAUGAUACGCUGGGAGAAGAGAUCUUUCCCUUGCUUCGCAACGGAUCGCUGCCUGUUUUGGAAGUUUGGGGAGGAGGGGAUGCGCUGGAAUGAGCUGAUGGCGGAGGAGCUGGAUCCUGGAUGAAGACAAACGGCCGUGAUGACUACGGGAGGAAGAAGAUGAAUAGUGAGAUGGGUUUUGGUCUUCGUAACACUGUUCAUUUGAACAGUGUUUUUACGGAACACUGUUCAUAUGAACAGUGUUUUCAGUAAUUUUGGGAAAACUUGUUUUUCUUGCUUUAUUUUGACGUGAAAAUGGGCAUAUACAAAUUUAAAACAAGGGUUUCCUCUAUUUUGCUUAGUUUGGAAACGUGAUGCGGAGACGGGAGUUUCAGAACCGUUGGAUUGCUUGGAUAGUGGUCGCGGGAA
This 1080-nucleotide long non-coding RNA is filed under the name Phoenix dactylifera (date palm). RNAcentral's name for it is "long non-coding RNA (PDAC_LNC009930)". Lineage: Eukaryota; Viridiplantae; Streptophyta; Magnoliopsida; Arecales; Arecaceae. The record is from RNAcentral.